Long non-coding RNA from Chelonia mydas (Green sea turtle), 6392 nucleotides. RefSeq lists it as uncharacterized. Lineage: Eukaryota; Metazoa; Chordata; Testudines; Cheloniidae. The record is from RefSeq and is a predicted model, not a curated record. The transcript is spliced from 3 exons.
GUGUUCUUGGACUUUCAGAAAGCCUUUGACAAGGUUCCUCUCCAAAGGCUGUUAAGCAAAGGCACCAGAACUACUACAGACAUCUUCUGUGCCUAAUCCUGCGGGGGCAGCUCCUACACUCCAGCAGGCUUUGCAGGCAGCCACACUAGCGUAGUGGACUGACACAAGUGUAAAACCUGCUGGGGGCACAGAAGUAGCCCAGAUCCCAGCCUGUCAGCAGGAUGAAGUUGGAGGCUCUGCAUCCUGGGGAUUCUUCCUCUGGCUUGAGGACUGGACUCAGCUACCUUUGGAGUCCAUCACCGCUACCCCAAGAACCAGCCAGAAGGAGGUGCUGCUGAGUGACUGAGUUCCCUGGACAGCAGUGACGCACACUGGAGCUGGCAUGCAGAUUUCUUCUUUACUUUACUUUUUAUUUAUUGAGAUGGUCUGGCUGCAGAUUGAGGUCCUUGCCUCUUUCUUAUAGCUGGAACACUAAUGGUUUAAAUCAAGGUUGAGUAAGCUUUUCUAUUAUAAACUCCCUUUUUAGUUACUCAUAAUUCUUUGACUUUUGGGGGUGAAAUUCUUCAGCAGAGGGGAGGCAGGGGGAUCAGGGAGUCAGAUUCUCUGUUCUGCUCCAGUGCCAAGCCUAGCAUAAAUCAGAGGACACUGGUGGCUGUUCUAACCUGUGCCAGCUAGCAAAGAAUCACCCCCCGCUUGGAGAUGGCCAGACCACGGUGUAGGCUGGCCAUGUCAUUCCUGUCCCAACAGCCCCAUGCAUCUGCUGAGGCAAUGGUUUCCUCUCCCUUUGUGCCACCUAAAUUGAUACAAAGGGAGCAGAGUGGGGCAAUGAGCUUGCAUUCAUAGCUUCGUUUAAAAAAAAUAACGUCAGCUAUUUUAUUUAUUUAUUGACUGGGCAGAAAUUUUAAAACAAGGUUGAAUGAUUUUUAAUGAUGAUUUCCUAAUGUCCUGAAGGCAAAGAGUCUGCGCUGCAUGUUCAUGUCUGUGGGAUUGUGGGUGAUGCUGAGAAACAUGAGCCAUGCCUCAGUCAGCAUGAAGAUCUGCAUGUGCCCUGUCUCUUUCUGUACAAUACUCUAAAGUUUAGGCAGACUCUGUGUCAUUUUUGAGCUAUCUCACUACAUUGUCUAGGCAAAUAAUGAAGGUUACGUUAGGGCGAUUCCAUGCAGCGUAAAGCCCCCAAAUGUCAGGAAAGGUCAGGGAAGUUUUUAACAUGAACUCUGCCCCAUUGUGCAUGUUCAUUAUGAUGCAAUCGAUAAUUACCUAGAUUCAUAGAUACUAAGGUCAGAAGGGACUAGUAUGAUCAUCUAGUCUGACCUCCUGCACAAUGCAGGCCACAGAAUUUCAGCCACCCACUCCUGCGAAAAACAUGAUCAUAUACAGGAUGCUGGGUUCGGGGGUGCUGCAAUCCAUGCCUCAUUCUAGCCUAAAUACUUUUACAAUGAUAACUAUGUAAAUUAAUUGAGAUCAAUGUACUCAUUGGGGCCCAAAUUGUGGGCAGUUAUCCGCCGGCCUACAUGGGGGGUGGUAUGGAGUUGCUCUCCUUUAUGUUGAGCCAAGAUGAGGGAGCAUUCCUCAAGAGAGACCAUCCCUCUCUUCGCAGUCAGAUGUUGUAGGGAGAGGGGGAGGACUGCACAGGUUACAACAUCCUAGAGGCCUGGCCAACACCGUGGGCUGGGGCAGAGCGUGUAUGUGUAUUCGAGGGAGACUCCACCUCCUCCCUGUCCUGUUUGGGGGAUAUGCACCCACACAGCUGCAUUGAUGGAGCAAUCUUGUGCGCUCCUCCAAGUGAGUGACCCUUGCACGUGGCCAGUCACAGUCAGGUCCUCUGAAUUAACACUGAGGUAACUGAGAGGAGAAUUUGCCCUUCAGUGCACAGGCAGAGCAUGUAUAGCAAGAAUGACUUUGUGAUGAUGAAAUACGUAUUUGUACUUCGUUGUGACAUGGACACCGUAAGAUUUAUGAUGCCCUUAACAGCUCAUUGACUGGCUUUUUAGUGCCUGAGUUCGGUAAACAACGUGACAUGUAACUUACAUGUCGUCAUUCAGUAACAGUCACUCUUUUUUCAAAUGAAAUGUCUAGAAUUUAUCAUCAUUUUGCCAGCCUUGAAAUGGGAGCAGCAGGUGCUGUGAUAAAUGAAAGAAAAGGGUUGUCUUGUUUUACUGGCCUUUCUGUCCGAGCCUCUGUCCCAUCCGAUGAAAGGCUCUAGGGUAACUUCCUAUGUUGUUCAGAUUCCCUGAAAGCAGCAGAUAUUCACACCAUCUCAUAAACUAACAAGGCACGAGGGACAUGGGGGUGUGUAUGGUGAGGUGGGGGAUCUAUUUUUUCCUAUAUCACCAAUAGUGGAAGAACAUCACUCACACAGCUGUUUCCAUGUGGCUAUCAAUAGAUCUUGGAGUUAAUAUCCAAACCUAAAGGAUCAUGAGACAUCACAGCAACAAGAAACCACUGAGUUUGCUACCACGUUACCCUCAGGGGUGAAGAAGAUAUUAACAGCAAUUGUCCGGGGCCUGGUAAGGGAACACUGGGUAGCCUUACUGAUUUGACUCUGUGUAUUCUUUAAAGACACCUAGCCAAAUUUGUCCCCAAUGUAACUCCAUUGAAAUCAACCCAAUUAGAGCAGGGAUUUAACAUGGUGCACCCUAUUCCUUACAGAAGAGACAAGGUAAACACAUUGCUUUCUGAAAGCAUUUGAAAAGGUUCCCAGUAAAAGAUUAUUGACUAAGCUAAAGAGGCCAUAACACAGGAGGUAAGAGGCAAGAUCUGAAAAUUAGGGUGGGUGAAUUGUAAUUUCCCUAGCUGGAAAAAGGUCUCUUGAAGGAAGAGUUCCCAGUAGCUCACCUGAUCGAUCUGUCUAGAUACCCCCAUCACUGCAGUAUUUGAGCCCCUUCCCGAGAAGGUUUUUUUCUGUUUAUUACAUCUGUCAACAAUGUGGCUCAAAAUAUCAAAGUUUACUGAUGAUACCAAAUAGGGAGAGCAAGAAGAGGAACGGUGCCCAGGAGUUUGGAGAGAUUUACAUCUUGAUGCUCGGAGCCAUCAGGGGUGCUGGCACAAUUUGUAUCGUGGGGGUGCUGAGAGCCAUUGAACCAAACUGUAAACCCUGUUUAUGACGGAAACCACUUCAAGCCAGAAGGUGCUGCUGCACCCCUAGCUCCAGUACCUAUGGAAGCCAGUGAAUGGAAAAUGCAUUUUAAUGUGGAUAAAGCCUGGUGACAAUGAUCCAAAAUAGGCAGCAUAUGUGAAAUGAAAAAUCUCAUACUGUGCUGCCCAGAGGAGAGGUAGGGAGCUCCUUUUACCACUCGCCCAGAGUAUGGCCACAGCAGAAAAGACUGGACUCUGGGGGAGAGUGCAGAUCCCAAGGAGUGAUCCUAUGGGUAGACACCAUCUCAGUCAAAUAGCAGUGACCACAUGGAACAAGUUGCCACAUAAGGCCAUUGAAGCAAAUAUGUAAAUUAGUUCAGUAGACAGCCAGACAUUUUAUUUGUGGGGGUGGGGUGUGGGGAGGAAGGGACAACAAUAUAUAUAGGGAAAGACCCAGAGGUGUGGAUGAGAGAAACCUAAAGGGACAGUCAGUCUUGUUGGGACACAGCUUCUUGUGUCCUGUAUUCCCUCUUGUGAUGUCUGAACCUUAAGACCCCCCCCACCCCCCGCAAAAGAAAGAGGGUACCAAGGUGUCAUGCCCCCUCUUUGUUUUUAAUUACUUCCCAAUUUAAUCUUGAUUUGCAUGUCCAUCUCUUAGAUCUGGGCCAGGGACUCUACAAAGCCCUCGUCAGCAACUCCCCCAAUAAUAAACAGGAAAAGGCUUAAGGAGCAAAUCACUUGCAUGUUAAUGAGACUGUUUGCUGGAGUCAAGAGAGAAAACAGCAAACAAACAAAUGGACUGAAUUCCAGCGGCAGCUGUUUGCUCCUUAAUCUCGGCUCGUCAGAGCUGCCCUUUGGUGGGACACAAUCUACACAAACGAUUGUGCUAAAUCUUCUAAUCUACGUCCUCAUUAUUACAUCCCUUCUUACGCAUGUAAAUCAGGGACAAACUCAUUUUAAUAUGUAGAUAGAUUAUUGAAGGGAAGGGGAGGGGAUAGGAGGGGAAAGGGGAGCUGCUAAUGGUGUCUGUGUGCAUGUGUGCUAGGGGGGCAGUAAUGAAGAGACUGGGAAGGGGGGCUGUCUGUGGACAGACACCAAAGGAAACGAGGAGGGUCUGUUGUUGGACUACAAAGGAGAAUAUAAGGGAGCAAAGCCUUAGAGAGUGGAGGGCAUUGAUAGUGGGGACUUUUAAGAUGGAGAACAGUCAGCAGUGUGAGGAUACAAUUCUACUCAGUGAGACUUCAUUGGCCUUACAAGCUGUACAAGUGCUGCCGGAAUGGAAGUAGAGCCAGACCCCUCAGGUCUCUGUCAGAGGCAAGGACAGGUCCACCCACACUAGGGCUCCACACUAACCCUUCUCCUGAUUGUUUGGGGUACAGCAUCUGGGCCAAAGUCUUCUGCCAGCCAAGAGUGCCACAGAAAAGCAAAGGGGGAGAGUGCAUGAUGUGCAGGCGUUAAUGGAGGAUAACGUAUGAACAUGCAGAAUUAGGGAGCUGUUCAUGUGACAUCCCUGCUUAUUGCCCAGCUCUAACCACCUGAAGCAAUCCCAUUUGGAGCCUGAGGCAUGGAUGUUAAUGACCCAAUUUAAAUUGUGUUAAGUUUCUGCAUAUACCUGGUGAUAGGCAUCUUACACGCUUAUCUAUUCAUUCAUAUUUAUUAACGGCUCCCGUCUUGUUAGACAAUUAAAAACCAACUUAUUUUCACACUACAAAGCCAAAUAAGGGCAAUAUAGAGGAAUACAGCAAUGUAACUAGUCCAGUCAGAGAACAGAGGCUCAACUUGCUUUUCCAAAGUAUAUAAGUAUAAUUAUAGUAAUCAACUGUCAUCACCAUUUUGAGUAACAUUUAAACAGGGGCUUAAACAGGAGCAUUACCAUGGCCCAUAAGAAAAAUCCAGACCUCCCAUAUCUUCCCAGCCCAGACAUCAUCUCCCAGCUUGGCUCUUCCCCCAGCCUGCAAUCCACCCCCUACCCAAUUAACCCUCUCCUUGUGCAAGAAUAUCCUGGGAGAACAGCUGAGUCUUGCAGCAUCCACCUUCUCUAGCCCAGCCAGCUAGCUCUCCUCCAUAUCCCAAUCUCCAUUAGACACUAGGUGAGCAUCCCCACCCUCUGGGUCAUAAGACAUGGAAAUAUAGAGAAAAGAGGAUGCCAUCAACAUACUGAACACACUGCAACCCAUAUUUCCUCACUAGUCCCUCAAAUAUACGUAUUUGCUGAACAAGAGGAGUGCUGAGAUGGAGCCUUGUGGAACCCCACAUGAGAAUGCCCGUGAGACAAACGAGUAAUUGCCCCAUGCCAUUCUUUGGGAAUUAUCUCAAAGGAAGAAGCAGAGACACUCAAGAGUAACCCCAUCCACCUUGCUACGGUCUGCAGAUGCAUCACCACCAUCUUGUGAUUAAUGCUACAGAAUGCAACUGAUAGAUCUAAAAGACUAAGUCUGGAUACCUGCUUUUCCUUCAUGGCCAGGAGGAGAUCAUCAGCGAGCACUAUCCUUACCAUUUCCUUACAAUAUGCAAGUCUAAACCAAACUGACUGUCAUCCAAAAAACCUGAAGAAUCAAGCUGUUGAGGGAGUUGAUUUGCCAUCAUCUUCCUGGGAGGCUGGAGAUGUAGCAAUAGUUGGAAAGAGCUCCCAUGUCAAGCAUGGAUUACUGAGCAAGGAUCUGGCAAUUAACUGUGUGCAAUUACAAUUAAUAAUACAGUGGGCUACACAUUGAUACCUGAAGGAAAGAUGAGGGAGAGAAAUAUUAGGAAUAACUCCUGGUAGGAAACCAUCCCACCCUCUGAAUGCAGACCUGCUGGCAGACUCCAAAAAGACAGACAUUCCAUGUACUCUAAUGAGCUAGGACUGACUGAGUCACCCCAUGCACCCGAUGAAGUGAGCUGUAGCUCAUGAAAGUUUAUGCUCAAAUAAAUUUGUUAGUCUCUAAGAUGCCACAAGUACUCCUUUUCUUUUUGUGGAAUAAAGUUAUUAGUUAAAGGCUGGGCUUCAUGUCUGUGUGGUACAGGUGCCACUUCUGUGAGCUCAGAUCUGAUGGAAAUGAGCACAAGAUAAAUGCUUUCCUAGACAGAUGACAGCUCUUUGUAGGCUCUUUCUGCUAUCUGACAGGGUGUUUGUCACAGUUAUAUGUCUAACUAAAUGUCUAAUUUUAGUGUUUGACUAGCAAAUACCUGGAAAUGGUAUUUGGCCAAAUAUAAGCAGGUGGAAUACUAAUCAACUAUCAUAUCUUGCAUAUUGAACAUAAGAACAUAAGAAUGGCCAUACUGGGUCAGACCAAAGGUCCAUCCAGCCCAGCAUCCUGUCCACCGACAGUGGCCAA